GUGCCAGCAGCCGCGGUAAUACGGAGGGUGCGAGCGUUAAUCGGAAUUACUGGGCGUAAAGCGCGCGUAGGCGGCUAAGUAAGCCGGUUGUGAAAGCCCCGGGCUCAACCUGGGAAUGGCAUCCGGAACUGUUUGGCUAGAGUGCAGGAGAGGAAGGUAGAAUUCCCGGUGUAGCGGUGAAAUGCGUAGAGAUCGGGAGGAAUACCAGUGGCGAAGGCGGCCUUCUGGACUGACACUGACGCUGAGGUGCGAAAGCAUGGGUAGCAAACAGGAUUAGAUACCCUGGUAGUCC
This 292-nucleotide ribosomal RNA is filed under the name uncultured microorganism. RNAcentral describes it as "partial 16S ribosomal RNA". It matches the Rfam family "Bacterial small subunit ribosomal RNA", at positions 505 to 796 of the family's 1533-position model. The record is from RNAcentral.